This is a small nucleolar RNA of Mastomys coucha (southern multimammate mouse), 143 nucleotides long. RefSeq annotates it as small nucleolar RNA SNORA48. The record is from RefSeq and is a predicted model, not a curated record. The transcript has a single exon. NCBI's taxonomy places the organism in Eukaryota, Metazoa, Chordata, Mammalia, Rodentia, Muridae.
CCCCCCAGCAAUGGGCAAACAGAUACCUUGUUGGUGAUAUUGUUCUUCUAUCUGUCAGGGGCAGAGCAGACAGCAGUUCUUUGUUCAUUCUAGCUUGAUGCCUGGCUUGGUGGUCCAACCUGUUUUAUGCCAAAGACACAUAA